Molecule: unclassified non-coding RNA, 329 nt
Filed under: soil metagenome
Description: partial contains 5.8S ribosomal RNA, internal transcribed spacer 2, and large subunit ribosomal RNA
Rfam family: 5.8S ribosomal RNA (bases 1-120)
Source: RNAcentral
GAUGAAGAACGCAGCGAAAUGCGAUAAGUAAUGUGAAUUGCAGAAUUCAGUGAAUCAUCGAAUCUUUGAACGCACAUUGCGCCCCCUGGUAUUCCGGGGGGCAUGCCUGUCCGAGCGUCAUUACAACCCUCAAGCUCAGCUUGGUGUUGGGCCCCGCCGCCCCGGCGGGCCCUAAAGUCAGUGGCGGUGCCGUCCGGCUCCGAGCGUAGUAAUUCUUCUCGCUCUGGAGGUCCGGUCGUGUGCUCGCCAGCAACCCCCAAUUUUUUUCAGGUUGACCUCGGAUCAGGUAGGGAUACCCGCUGAAUUUAAGCAUAUCAAUAAGCGGAGGA